CUUUCUCAAAGGCCUAUCCAAGUUUGUGCGCGCUGCCGCCUCUCACCUUGAACCCUGCUGCAGUCCUCUGUGUUUCAGGAAGUUCGUACUAAUGGAUGAGGAUGUUGGAUGCGGGGACAGGGACACAUCCACUAUCUUUCCUCAAGGGUGCUUAUUUAUUUUUCAAAUUAAAAUCCAUGCUCUUCUGGAGGCUUCUUCUGUGAAACAAAGAAAAUGCACUGGGCACGUUCUCUAGACAACACACAGUCUAGAGGCACAUGCAGACCCCACUAGGACGUACCAAAGAAGACAGGAUUUCUUUCCUGUGAGGCUGGGGUCUCCCUAGUACUGACAUUCUGCAAGAUACAGUGCCUGAGAAAAGGUCUGUGGCUAUAAUUACUGCGAAAUGGAAAAUAGCGGUCAUUUUAAUCGCUUUCCUGCUACUAAACAUAUCACAAUGCUGAGGGAAUCACAGUUUGGGGAGUAAAAGCUAACUUUGCUUGGUUUCAUUUUCUCUGCUCCUUCGGACGUCACUGAUGCUAGAAGGUCUAGUCCACCUCUGUCGGGAAGCAGUGGUACGCUGGACAUCUCCAGCUAUGGCAGCUGGUGUUGUAACACAGCUUGGCCAGAAAGCAGAGAGAGGUGAUUAUAAAUCUCCUAGGGCUGGCAAUCAAGAAGAGCCAUCACACUUAAGAAAAAGUUGCUGAGAGCUAUUCCAGAGAGGAAGAUAAAAAGUCAAAGUGCCCUGGUAUUAGGUAAUAAGACUUUCCUUGGAACUGCUAUUAAAGUUUCCAAGUGCCAGUUUCUACAGCAGAAGGAUACAUCUUUUCUUUGUUGGCUUGUUUCUAUUUUGCUUUGUUUCUUUUUUUUUGGUUUUGUUUUCUGAGACAGUGUUUCUCUGUGUAGCUCUGACAGUCCUGGACCCUGGCCUCCAAAUCUCAGAGACCUGCCUACAUCUACCUCCUGAGUGCUGUGACCCCCACCUCCCCUCUUCCCUCCUCUCCGCCACAGUGUCUUUUCUUAAAUAUAAGGAAAAAAUUGUCUGGAAGGAUUGAUUAUUUGAGACAGCUUAGCGCUUGGAUUGGACUUUUUAAUUUUUAUAUCAAGCUCACUACAAGGUGUAGGCUGGCCAGUAGCUCCAGUGUUUGCUUUGAUAUCAUGAGUACUGGCACAGAUAUGUACCACUGUGCCCAGUGAGGGGUUAGACUAUAGCAAGUGCAGUUAGAAUAGUUACGGCUGGCCCCAUGGGGAAAUUCUAACCUGGGGUCUGUGGCCUUUAGAACUUUAU
Mus musculus (house mouse) is the source of this 1267-nucleotide long non-coding RNA. RefSeq annotates it as predicted gene, 42121. The transcript is spliced from 3 exons. The record is from RefSeq and is a predicted model, not a curated record. Lineage: Eukaryota; Metazoa; Chordata; Mammalia; Rodentia; Muridae.